GACGAACGCUGGCGGCGUGCUUAACACAUGCAAGUCGAACGGUGAUACGUUGGUAGCAAUAUUAGCGUAUCGCAGUGGCGGACGGGUGAGUAACGCGUGAGCGACCUGCCCAUAAGAGGGGGAUAACACCGGGAAACCGGUGCUAACACCGCAUAAGACCACAGUGCUGCAUGGCAUUGAGGUAAAAAGGGAAACCUGCUUAUGGAGGGGCUCGCGUCCCAUUAGCUAGUUGGCGGGGUAACGGCCCGCCAAGGCGAUGAUGGGUAGCCGACCUGAGAGGGUGAACGGCCACACUGGAACUGAGAUACGGUCCAGACUCCUACGGGAGGCAGCAGUGGGGAAUAUUGGGCAAUGGGCGAAAGCCUGACCCAGCAACGCCGCGUGAGGGAAGAAGGUUUUCGGAUUGUAAACCUCUGUCCUUGGGGACGAAAUUUUGACGGUACCCAAGGAGGAAGCCCCGGCUAACUACGUGCCAGCAGCCGCGGUAAUACGUAGGGGGCGAGCGUUGUCCGGAAUUACUGGGCGUAAAGGGUGCGUAGGCGGUUUUUUAAGUCAGAUGUGAAAUCCCCGGGCUUAACCCGGGUAUUGCAUUUGAAACUGGGAAGCUAGAGUGCAGGAGAGGGAAGCGGAAUUCCUAGUGUAGCGGUGAAAUGCGUAGAUAUUAGGAGGAACACCAGUGGCGAAGGCGGCUUUCUGGACUGCAACUGACGCUGAGGCACGAAAGCGUGGGUAGCAAACAGGAUUAGAUACCCUGGUAGUCCACGCCAUAAACGAUGGAUACUAGGUGUAGGGUACUUAAUAGUGCUCUGUGCCGCAGCAAACGCAAUAAGUAUCCCGCCUGGGGAGUACGGCCGCAAGGUUGAAACUCAAAGGAAUUGACGGGGGCCCGCACAAGCAGCGGAGCAUGUGGUUUAAUUCGAAGCAACGCGAAGAACCUUACCAGGGCUUGACAUCCCCUGACGAAUGCUGAAAGGCAUUUUCCCUUUUAGGGCAGGGAGACAGGUGGUGCAUGGUUGUCGUCAGCUCGUGUCGUGAGAUGUUGGGUUAAGUCCCGCAACGAGCGCAACCCCUAUAGUUAGUUGCCAGCAUGUAGAGAUGGGAACUCUAACUAGACUGCCGGGGAUAACUCGGAGGAAGGUGGGGACGACGUCAAAUCAUCAUGCCCCUUAUGUUCUGGGCUACACACGUGCUACAAUGGCCGGUACAGAGGGCAGCGAAGGAGCAAUCCGGAGCGAAUCUUUAGAAAGCCGGUCUCAGUUCGGAUUGUGGGCUGCAACCCGCCCACAUGAAGCCGGAGUUGCUAGUAAUCGCGAAUCAGCAUGUCGCGGUGAAUGCGUUCCCGGGCCUUGUACACACCGCCCGUCACACCAUGGGAGUUGGGAGCGCCCGAAGCCGAUGGCCUAACAGCAAUGGAGGAGUCGUCGAAGGCGAGAUCAAUGACUGGGGUG
This 1448-nucleotide ribosomal RNA is filed under the name uncultured bacterium. RNAcentral describes it as "bacterial SSU rRNA". It matches the Rfam family "Bacterial small subunit ribosomal RNA". The record is from RNAcentral.